GGGCGAAAGCCUGACGGAGCAAUACCGCGUGAGGGAAAAAGGCCUUCGGGUUGUAAACCUCUUUUAUCAAGGAGGAAAUUUUGACGUGUACUUGAUGAAUAAGCAUCGGCUAACUCCGUGCCAGCAGCCGCGGUAAUACGGAGGAGGCAAGCGUUAUCCGGAAUUAUUGGGCGUAAAGCGUCCGCAGGUGGCGAUUCAAGUCUGCUGUCAAAGCACGGGGCUUAACUCCGUUAAGGCAGUGGAAACUGAAUAGCUAGAGUGCCGUAGGGGUAGAGGGAAUUCCCGGUGUAGCGGUGAAAUGCGUAGAGAUCGGGAAGACCACCGAUGGCGAAGGCACUUUACUAGGACAUUACUGACACUGAGAGACGAAAGCUAGGGGAGCAAAUGGGAUUAGAUACCCCAGUAGUC
RNAcentral lists this ribosomal RNA (408 nucleotides) under uncultured cyanobacterium. Its description in RNAcentral is "bacterial SSU rRNA". It matches the Rfam family "Bacterial small subunit ribosomal RNA", at positions 373 to 795 of the family's 1533-position model. Lineage: Bacteria; Bacillati; Cyanobacteriota. The record is from RNAcentral.